AGUGAACGCUGGCGGUAGGCCUAACACAUGCAAGUCGAACGGCAGCACAGUAAGAGCUUGCUCUUACGGGUGGCGAGUGGCGGACGGGUGAGGAAUACAUCGGAAUCUACUUUUUCGUGGGGGAUAACGUAGGGAAACUUACGCUAAUACCGCAUACGACCUACGGGUGAAAGCAGGGGAUCUUCGGACCUUGCGCGAUUGAAUGAGCCGAUGUCGGAUUAGCUAGGUGGCUGGGUAAAGGCCCACCAAGGCGACGCUCCGUAGCUGGUCUGAGAGGAUGAUCAGCCACACUGGAACUGAGACACGGUCCAGACUCCUACGGGAGGCAGCAGUGGGGAAUAUUGGACAAUGGGCGCAAGCCUGAUCCAGCCAUACCGCGUGGGUGAAGAAGGCCUUCGGGUUGUAAAGCCCUUUUGUUGGGAAAGAAAAGCAGCAGGUUAAUACCCCGCUGUUCUGACGGUACCCAAAGAAUAAGCACCGGCUAACUUCGUG
This 492-nucleotide ribosomal RNA is filed under the name uncultured bacterium. Its description in RNAcentral is "partial 16S ribosomal RNA". It matches the Rfam family "Bacterial small subunit ribosomal RNA", at positions 29 to 507 of the family's 1533-position model. The record is from RNAcentral.